CCUGACGCCGGCAGCAGCAGUUCCUUCCCCUAGCAGCAGCUAAAUCCAGUUUACAGUCUUUCUAACACUUGUAGAACUAAUUUCAUCACCCCCAGCUCUGAGGUCAACACCAGCCGGCAGGCACCCCCACCUCAGAUGUCUGGUUCCAGCCCCACAAGGUGCUCCUGUCUCUAAGCUGUAAUCAUUCCAAAUGCACCCCUUUGCUGCCUGGCCCUAGGGGUGGUAGUGCUUCCUCCAUAACACCUUCUUAGCAUUCUCUGACAGUAGUGUGAAGGCGUCCCAACCCCUAACAUGAAUUUCCUGGACUGUGGGAGCCUUUUGUGCCCUGGUGAGCCCUGGGGAGACCAAAAGCAGUUCGUCUAACCCCUAUGUGGUUCGUAACUGCUCUACUCCGAGAAAGCAGGCUGGCUUACCCUUGGAGAGGCCAGUAAUUCUGUUCUCAGCUCUUUCCUGUGCGGGCCUCGACAUCUCAGGGAGAAUGGACAGGUGCAUCUCAGUUCCAGUCAUCUCAGCACACGCCUCCCGCUCUGCCUCCCUGCUGAUCUGCACCUUGGCUGUGGCCUUGCCUGACCUCAGAAUGCUCCCAGGAGGAGAGGCCAUUGCCUUCUCCAUGGCCCCCCAAGUGUGAGCAGAACUGAUGGAGAAACUGGGCCAAGCGAGGAGAGAAACUUGAGUGGGAGACCUUGGGGCUGUUGGGAGAGGAUACAGAGAAGGUGGCUGCCUUGGAUGCUGUGAGUUUCUGUUUCCUUCCUCAUUAGUGUCUUUCUUACUGAGAAAAUCCCUUUUCCUUGAAGUAACUUGACUGAAUAUUUGACUGGUUCCCUUUUGCCAAGUGAACCCAAGAAAGAAAAGGAAAGAAAGGACAAGGAACCCAGCAUCCACUGAGGACCUGCUGUGUGGCAGGACAGUGCUGGGAGCCCCGCACACAUGCAGUCCUUGAGGACUGAUUGAGCAGCUCCGGGUGAUGGGGGCACAGGUACCAUGUUGUUCAGCAGAGCUCUAGAACUUACUCAUCUCACAUAACCAAAUUUUAUACCCAUUGAGCAAGAUUUCUCCAGGUCCCUUUCGCCCAGCUCCUGGAAACUGCCAUUCUAUUCUCUGCUUCUAUGAGUCUGACUAUUUUGAUACCCCAGGCUCAAGCCUUCAAGGACUAGGCUAGAGGCUGACCUGAGUGACCAGCACCAAGUGGUCCUCCAAGCUGUCCUUCCUCCUGGACGUCCCCGGAGAGGCUCUCAACGCUCUCGGACCAAGACCUCUUGCCUUUCUCUUGGGAUGAACUAUUUCUCAUCCUUAGUCUCUCACACCAGUGGACUCCUGGGAUCCCAGCCCAUAAGAUGUGCCUGAAUCUCCCCUUUGCAAACACCCCACUGUGCACAAGUGUUGUUAUCCUCAUGUUGUGGGUGGGGAAACUGAGGCCCUGAAUGUCGGAUGACUUGCUUGAGGUCACUAAGAGUCUCCAGAUCCCUAACACUGAGUCAGCCCUAUGCUCACCACACAACAUUGUGUUACACACCACCUCACUGUUGUGGCCAAAAGUUAUGCUUUGAGAUCAUCAUCUUGCUCUGUCCAGGGACCCGCAGGCUGUUCUGAGGUUGGACUAUGGUGGUUCCCAUGCAGGCCCAGCAUCAGAAUUGCCUGUGAACAUUGAGAAGCUCAGGUGCCAGAGCCCAAGCCCAGGGAGUUCUGGCUCACUAAAUCCAGGUGGGCCCAGGUGCACAGGUAUCUGUAGAGUCAAUUCUCAUUCUCACGGUAGUCAUGUUUUAUAAAGUUUCUGUGAACACUGAAUUAGCAGAUACUGAACCUUUGCUCCCAGGGGAAACAGGGUUAGAUUCCUGUGUCUCUGGUUACAACCAAUACAUAGCCUUGUUUCAUGCGUGUUUCUAUUAAAGACACGUUUUUUACUCUCUAUUGUUGAUUCAUUGACACUGAACUCACGGCCAACAGCACCGUAACUUGUGUCUGAAA
Callithrix jacchus (white-tufted-ear marmoset) is the source of this 1965-nucleotide non-coding RNA. NCBI's taxonomy places the organism in Eukaryota, Metazoa, Chordata, Mammalia, Primates, Cebidae. The record is from RefSeq and is a predicted model, not a curated record.